GAUGAACGCUAGCGGCAGGCCUAACACAUGCAAGUCAGGGGGUAACAUAGGAAAGCUUGCUUUUCUGAUGACGACCGGCGCACGGGUGCGUAACGCGUAUACAACCUACCUUUUAGCGGGGAAUAGCCCAGGGAAACUUGGAUUAAUGCCCCAUAGUAUAUAGACUUCUCCUGAAGUUUAUAUUAAACAUUUAUGGCUAUUAGAUGGGUAUGCGUCCUAUUAGUUAGUUGGUAAGGUAACGGCUUACCAAGGCAGCGAUAGGUAGGGGUCCUGAGAGGGAGAUCCCCACACUGGUACUGAGACACGGACCAGACUCCUACGGGAGGCAGCAGUGAGGAAUAUUGGACAAUGGGCGAGAGCCUGAUCCAGCCAUGCCGCGUGCAGGAAGACUGCCCUAUGGGUUGUAAACUGCUUUUACAGAGGAAGAACUACCCCCACGUGUGGGGGUUUGACGGUACUCUGCGAAUAAGGAUCGGCUAACUCCGUG
Molecule: ribosomal RNA, 487 nt
Filed under: uncultured bacterium
Lineage: Bacteria
Description: bacterial SSU rRNA
Rfam family: Bacterial small subunit ribosomal RNA
Source: RNAcentral